Molecule: ribosomal RNA, 504 nt
Filed under: Theileria sp.
Lineage: Eukaryota; Apicomplexa; Aconoidasida; Piroplasmida; Theileriidae
Description: SSU rRNA
Rfam family: Eukaryotic small subunit ribosomal RNA
Source: RNAcentral
UGAUGGGAAUUUAAACCUCUUCCAGAGUAUCAAUUGGAGGGCAAGUCUGGUGCCAGCAGCCGCGGUAAUUCCAGCUCCAAUAGCGUAUAUUAAAAUUGUUGCAGUUAAAAAGCUCGUAGUUGAAUUUCUGCUGCAUUUCAUUUCUCUUUCUGAGUUUGUUUUUGCGGCUUAUUUCGGUUUGAUUUUUUCUUUCCGGAUGAUUACUUUGAGAAAAUUAGAGUGCUCAAAGCAGGCUUUUGCCUUGAAUAGUUUAGCAUGGAAUAAUAAAGUAGGACUUUGGUUCUAUUUUGUUGGUUUUAGGUACCAAAGUAAUGGUUAAUAGGAACAGUUGGGGGCAUUCGUAUUUAACUGUCAGAGGUGAAAUUCUUAGAUUUGUUAAAGACGAACUACUGCGAAAGCAUUUGCCAAGGAUGUUUUCAUUAAUCAAGAACGAAAGUUAGGGGAUCGAAGACGAUCAGAUACCGUCGUAGUCCUAACCAUAAACUAUGCCGACUAGAGAUUGGA